Molecule: long non-coding RNA, 637 nt
Filed under: Mytilus galloprovincialis (Mediterranean mussel)
Lineage: Eukaryota; Metazoa; Mollusca; Bivalvia; Mytilida; Mytilidae
Source: RNAcentral
UACAUGUAGUAGAUAAACUAUUGCGUGCAAUAAUUUACAAUUCUGUCUAGCAAUCCUCUUUUAAUAUGCUAUAUUGUGAAAUAAAUAGGUCAUCUUCAUGUAUAUUUGGUGUAUGAAAAGAUUAUUAAAUGUAUUAUAACAAAUUAAAAUAUCAAAUAAGAGGAUGUGAUAUGAUUGUAAAUGAGACACAAGCUAAGAGACCAAAUAACACAGAAAUAACUAUACAUGUAGGUCACCAUAUGGACUUCAACAAUGAGUAAAACCUGUUCUGCAUAGUUGGUUUUAAAGGCUUCGAAAUGACAAAUGAACAAUUUAAAACAUUUCAAAUGAGAAAACUAAUGGGUGAUUUAUGUAAAAAAUAAUGAAUGAAAAACAAAUAUGUCUGUCUUGCAGGGUUUAUCUGAACUUAACCUCAUUUUCAUGGACUUGUCUGUUUAUUGAAUUCUAAAUAUGUUUCAAAAUAUUUGGUUGAUGGGAUGAUUGUUACAGAGUCCGACAUAGGGUGCAGGCUCAUUGGUUGAUUAUAUUGUGAAUAACUGAAGCCGGCCCCGCUUUGGCAGUCAGUCUCCACAUUGCCACUGGAGAAAUAAAAUAACUAAGAAAAAAAAUGGUAUAAGAAAAAAAAAUUGAAUCACGA